Molecule: unclassified non-coding RNA, 287 nt
Filed under: uncultured fungus
Lineage: Eukaryota; Fungi
Description: partial contains 5.8S rRNA, ITS2 and 28S rRNA
Rfam family: Eukaryotic large subunit ribosomal RNA
Source: RNAcentral
AAGGAGUCGUCCAUUAGAGCGAGCGUUUGGGUGUAAAACCCGCACGCGUAAUGAAAGUGAAAUUAGGUGAGAGCUUCGGCGCAUCAUCGACCGAUCCUGAUGUUCUCGGAAGGAUUUGAGUAAGAGUUUUAACGGACGGACCCGAAAGACAGUGAACUAUGCUUGUAUAGGGUGAAGCCAGAGGAAACUCUGGUGGAGGCUCGCAGCGGUUCUGACGUGCAAAUCGAUCGUCAAAUAUGAGCAUGGGGGCGAAAGACUAAUCGAACUGUCUAGUAGCUGGUUACCGC